This 401-nucleotide ribosomal RNA is filed under the name uncultured bacterium. RNAcentral describes it as "bacterial SSU rRNA". It matches the Rfam family "Bacterial small subunit ribosomal RNA", at positions 355 to 773 of the family's 1533-position model. The record is from RNAcentral.
UGGGGAAUCUUGCACAAUGGGGGAAACCCUGAUGCAGCGACGCCGCGUGAGCGAUGAAGCCCUUCGGGGUGUAAAGCUCUUUCGGCAGGGAAGAUGAUGACGGUACCUGCAGAAGCAGCUGCGGCUAACUACGUGCCAGCAGCCGCGGUAAUACGUAGGCAGCAAGCGUUGUUCGGAGUUACUGGGCGUAAAGGGUGUGUAGGCGGUUGGAUAAGUGUGGUGUGAAAUCUCCCGGCUCAACUGGGAGGGUGCGCUACAAACUGUCUGACUCGAGUGUGGGAUGGGUAAGUGGAAUUCCUGGUGUAGCGGUGAAAUGCGUAGAUAUCAGGAGGAACACCGGUGGUGUAGACGGCUUACUGGACCAUAACUGACGCUGAGACACGAAAGCGUGGGUAGCAAAC